GCUGGGCGCAGUGCUUGUAGUCCCAGCUACUCGGGAGGCUGAGGCUGGAGGAUCGCUUGAGUCCAGGAGUUCUGGGCUGUAGCGUGCUAUGCCCAUCGGCUGUCCGCACUAAGUUCGGCUUCAUUAUGGUGACCUCCCGGGAGCAGGGGACCACCAGGUUGCCUAAGAAGGGGUGAACCGGCCCAGGUCAGAAACAGAGCAGGUCAAAACUCCCGUGCUGAUCAGUAGUGGGAUCGCACCUGUGAAUAGCCACUGCACUCCAGCCUGGGCAACAUAGCGAGACCCCAUCUCU
RNAcentral lists this signal recognition particle RNA (292 nucleotides) under Aotus nancymaae (Ma's night monkey). RNAcentral's name for it is "Metazoan signal recognition particle RNA (ENSANAG00000002321.1)". It matches the Rfam family "Metazoan signal recognition particle RNA". Rfam says of the family: The signal recognition particle (SRP) is a universally conserved ribonucleoprotein. It is involved in the co-translational targeting of proteins to membranes. Lineage: Eukaryota; Metazoa; Chordata; Mammalia; Primates; Aotidae. The record is from RNAcentral.